RNAcentral lists this ribosomal RNA (492 nucleotides) under uncultured bacterium. RNAcentral's name for it is "partial 16S ribosomal RNA". It matches the Rfam family "Bacterial small subunit ribosomal RNA", at positions 29 to 507 of the family's 1533-position model. The record is from RNAcentral.
AGUGAACGCUGGCGGUAGGCCUAACACAUGCAAGUCGAACGGCAGCACAGUAAGAGUUUGCUCUUACGGGUGGCGAGUGGCGGACGGGUGAGGAAUACAUCGGAAUCUACUUUUUCGUGGGGGAUAACGUAGGGAAACUUACGCUAAUACCGCAUAGGACCUACGGGUGAAAGCAGGGGAUCUUCGGACCUUGCGCGAUUGAAUGAGCCGAUGUCGGAUUAGCUAGUUGGCGGGGUAAAGGCCCACCAAGGCGAGGAUCCGUAGCUGGUCUGAGAGGAUGAUCAGCCACACUGGAACUGGGACACGGUCAAGACUCCUACGGGAGGCAGCAUUGGGGAAUAUUGGACAAUGGGCGCAGGCCUGAUCCAGCCAUACCGCGUGGGUGAAGAAGGCCUUCGGGUGGUAAAGCCCUUUUGUUGGGAAAGAAAAGCAGCAGGUUAAUACCCCGCUGUUCUGACGGUACCCAAAGAAUAAGCACCGGCUAACUUCGUG